CGGCUCUGUGCUGAAGGUGUGCGCCUGUGGAGCUGACAAAACUUUCGCUCUAGCAGGCGAUAAACAACGAUGGUAUUCGUUUAUUAUGUGAACGCGUUUGGGCCUGGACUGCUGAAAAUCUACAGGUCUAAGAAAGAAGCUUUUGGUCAGGAGAUGGAGGAGCUCCUUGAUCAACAUGAUUACCAGACAUCCGACAUUGUGUCCCACUGGAAACAGCAGCACUGAGAGGCCUGCCUAUCGACCUCCGCGAAGAUGCAACCAAGUUUUUCCUGAAGUGCUCAGACACCACAUGUGUCUGUUGCCAUCCUCACUGUGCUACAUGAUGAUAAAGCCGACAACACUGCGAGACCAGGGGUUUGUGUUGGAAGAGGACACUGUGCUUCAUCAUAUUCCAAACAUGGGGAAAAUAAUCAUAAUUGACAUGUUCAGUGAGCCUAGUAUUGGUUUCAAAUACUCAGGAAGAUUCACCCCAAAUGUUAUUAGACUAUACAGUAUGCAUGUUGUUUUUUACACAUGUUGUAUGUAUGAUGUGUGUUAU
Molecule: long non-coding RNA, 538 nt
Organism: Solea solea (common sole)
Lineage: Eukaryota; Metazoa; Chordata; Actinopteri; Pleuronectiformes; Soleidae
Exons: 4
Source: RefSeq, a predicted model, not a curated record